RNAcentral lists this ribosomal RNA (254 nucleotides) under uncultured bacterium. RNAcentral describes it as "partial 16S ribosomal RNA". It matches the Rfam family "Bacterial small subunit ribosomal RNA", at positions 524 to 776 of the family's 1533-position model. The record is from RNAcentral.
UACGUAGGGGCCUAGCGUUGUCCGGAAUCAUUGGGCGUAAAGAGCUCGUAGGCGGUUCGAUUAGUCGGGUGUGAAAUCUCCACGCUCAACGUGGAGGGGCCACUCGAUACUGUCGUGACUCGAGUCCGGUAGGGGAGUUCGGAAUUCCCGGUGUAGCGGUGAAAUGCGCAGAUAUCAGGAGGAACACCGGUGGCGAAGGCGCUGCUCUGGGCCGGUACUGACGCUGAGGAGCGAAAGCGUGGGUAGCAAACAGG